This 780-nucleotide ribosomal RNA is filed under the name Triticum aestivum (bread wheat). RNAcentral's name for it is "partial small subunit ribosomal RNA". Lineage: Eukaryota; Viridiplantae; Streptophyta; Magnoliopsida; Poales; Poaceae. The record is from RNAcentral.
AUGGUGGUCAAAGUAAAUGAUCUCACUGUGAAAGAGAAAGAUGCUGCAUCGUCUUUCCUGGCGACUGGAGGUCCAGUCCAGGGAGGCCACUCACUCGGCCAGGAGGGCCGGGGGCAAGGACCUUCUCUGCUGGUGCCCGUAGCUGCCUCGGGUCAGGUGGACCUGGAUCACGGGCCACUCGAGCGCGCUAGCCUUGGCCAGGAGGGCCAAGGACUAGCGGCCAGAAGGGAGCACACCAAGGGGGCGCUGCAGGUUGGCCAGGAGGGUCGUUUUCCUGUAGCGUCCCUACACUCCAUGCGGGGUGGUGAUCAUGGUCAGGUGGACCAGAAUGCAUCACUGUACGCCCCUGCACCCCCUACUAGCGAAGGCCAGGAGGGCCAAGCGCUGGUGGGGGGAGCGGCCACCACCACGGCUGCUUUAACUGACCAGGCGGGCCAGGACAUGUUGCAUCAGGGGAAUUUUACUUCCCCAAUCAGGUCUGUUGCGGCUAUGGCUGCGUACCGGCCUAACCCGGUCGUCCAGGAGGGUAGGGAGGCUCUGCAGUGGGGUGAUCAACUCCUCUUUCGCCCGGGGGUGCUGGAGGUGCUGUCGGGGGCUGUCGCUGCAAGACUUGCUCCAAAAAAUACCACUGACACCCCUAUUUACACUUUCAAUGCUACAAAGAACUCCAUGCAGGGAAAGACAAAAGGAAAGGGCAAAAAAGGAAAGAAGGGAGGAGGAGUUGGGAGUUCAGGGGAAGCACGCAAGAACAUUAUAGGUAAAAAAAAGAAGCCUCUAUGA